Molecule: long non-coding RNA, 437 nt
Filed under: Homo sapiens (human)
Lineage: Eukaryota; Metazoa; Chordata; Mammalia; Primates; Hominidae
Description: HSALNT0334298
Source: RNAcentral
AGAAUAGAGAGAGCAAGGCUCAGGGAAGUGCAGGGGACCUGAGUAUUUGCUGUACCCACCACCGACUCUGCAGGGAUCCGGGAGAACCUAAGUGACUUGUGCGAUUCCGUGGACCCUGGGGAGAAUGGUCCAUUCUGGGCAUACCUGGAGGCUCUGGCCAACAGUUCCCCCAGAAUUCUCCAGGUGGGGGCAGGGGAAGAGGCGGGCCCCGCCAACUCUUCAGCAACCCAAAAUCUUAACGGCAGACCCAGAACAGCAGGGUGUCCUUAAUGUCCCCAAGUAACCUGAAGAUGCUGUGUAGCCCGGAGAGGGGCUGAAGUGUGCAUGACUGGGGUCUGGUUUGGCUGUAGACCAAUCUGAACCCAAAGGUAGAAACACGCUGGGCUCUGAAAGCCAGGCUGAAGUCUGCUAACUGACAAAUUCAUCCCAAGUCCAUC